UAUGAAUUAGUUUCUUAGAUUUUCUGUAUUAUCUGAUUUAUGUACUUUAAUCGCGGUCUCCCUCUGUUUUGGUUUUUCAUUUUUCCUUUUACCAUCGUUUCCAAGAUUAGUCCCAAAAAAUCCUCCAUGUCUAAGUAUAUUCAUUUCACUUUUUAACAAUAUUUUUUCCACAAUGAUGUUCUUUCUGAAAAUUCUUCAUUAGUGAUGGUCCUAUCGGUCCAAUUUAUUUGUGCGGCCUUCUGAGUAACACCACAUGAAAUUGAAAUCGGGAUUACAACUUUAAACGAAUUUGAAACCAAAAGUAAACGGGAUGAGGAAAUAGUAUAAUAAUAAUAGUACCAGGCGUGAUAAAAAAAUAACGAGAAUUUUUAUUUUUCUCAAACAAUUUGUAUUUAUUUAUCAAUACUAAUAUUAUCCCCUUCAAAAUUCUCCCCAUUAGGUGCAAUACAAAAACCACGUCGGUAACCUCAGAUAAAAUUUAUUGUACAAUGUUUUUUUUUAUUUUGUUUUCAUUCAAAAUUAAAACAAUUGGG
This is a non-coding RNA of Cinara cedri, 533 nucleotides long. The record is from the annotation of a GenBank genome assembly. Lineage: Eukaryota; Metazoa; Arthropoda; Insecta; Hemiptera; Aphididae.